GCUGGUGUGGCUCAAUGGCAGAGCACCUGAUUUGUAAUCAGGCGGUUGAUGGUUCGACUCCGUUCACCAGCUCCA
RNAcentral lists this transfer RNA (75 nucleotides) under Clostridia bacterium. Its description in RNAcentral is "tRNA-Thr". It matches the Rfam family "tRNA". From Rfam's summary of the family: Transfer RNA (tRNA) molecules are approximately 80 nucleotides in length. The record is from RNAcentral. RNAcentral also lists the same sequence under 1 other name. Lineage: Bacteria; Bacillati; Bacillota; Clostridia.